GGCAGAGCGGACACGGGGCUUUAUUGAACGCGGCACGGAACGGCGCGGCCCCAACGCGAGGCGCAGCGCCACGUCGGCAGCUGAGCGGCCCCAGGGCGGCGGCUGCGCGGAGCUACGAGCCGGUGGGGACGGUGUCUUCCUCCAUCUCCUCCUCGGCGUCCUCGGCCGAGCCUGCAAGAGAGCAGAACGCAGCCCGAUGAGCGCAUGCUGUGAGUUUGGUGCUUUGCAGCUGCACACGUGAUCCAGGCCUGGCUGUGAACGCUCUGACUGCCAGACAGCUCGCGUGCUGAACGCACAGCCUGAGGGAGGUGGUCCUCAGCCAUCCCAACCAUCAAAUCACAACCAUCUCACGUGGUUUUUCAACCUCUCCCAGCAUAACCUCCUUGCUGAGAUCACGGGAAGGACCAGGAAGCAAUUAAAAGAAAGGGAUUCUGUUUAGGAAAGAAAAGCAGAAGCACUGUGACCUGGCUUUCGUUCUCUGCCGGGGAUCUGGCCGGCCUGCAGCAAGCCUUUCAGCCUCUCCACUUCGGCCAAUGUUGAGGCAUUUGCUAUGGCAGUCUGAAAAACAGGCAAAGGAGCACGGUGAAUCUUCACGUGCAGCACGUCAGUCCAUUGAGAGUAAACAGAACCAGUUGGUUUUGAUUUGCAGUUAAGCUACGCUGAGCUUUUACACUCCCAAAGGUUCUACAAGUGAUAACGCACAAUCCUGUUCCCCCCAAUUAUACAAGCUGAUCUGUCCUGGGUGAGCUCUAGGCUCAAACCCAAAUUUCAGUUAAGUUUUCUGUAUGUCACAGUGUCAGAAAAGUUACAGAAAAAGCACCAAGAACAAAGAGAACACUGUUCUGUUCGUCUGAACAUCGCCAGGAAGAAGGAAACAUUCCUUCGGUUGGGAUUCACAAUUGUUCUCCUCCCCCUCUGUCUGAGUCCCGUUGUGCCACACUCACCUUAAUUGCCUCAACAUCACCCGGGGAGGGCCCGGCCUUCUUUUUGUCUGUUGGCAGACCAGCACCUGGAUUGAAGCUUCAGAGGAAAAAGCAAAGAGGUAUCGUUACUGUCGGGGAGCAGUGUGUGCUUCUCUUACUUCCAAACCAGGUUUGGAAGCAUUUCAUUCAAUCAAGUGUAGUAUCUUAUCUUUGUUAACAAACUGAUACAGUGAUGAAUUGCCUCCUUCAGAAACACCAGCAACUUGUCCUCACUGUCCCAUCCCCCCCUCCCAUCUUUUCAUCUGCUCGUAACAAGAGGCAGACUGACACUUCAUAAUUAAGCAGCUGACAAAAGCUGUUGCAUUUGGAUGUUGUUGAACACACAACGUUGUUACCAUUACAAAAAGCAGAGUGGAUAAAGAAAGAAUAAGUGAAAUUGGAUUUCCUUUUCUUACAGGUCUAAUAGGAUACUGUGACAGCCUAUACAUAAGCCUGCCUAAAAGGAAUGUCAGAAGUUUCUUUUGAGGUACCUGCUGCUGAUUGAAGGAAAGCAGACGUUUGUUGUCUCUGGAAAUGGAGGUCACAGACACAGCUGGAAAGAACUUCCUGAAAUAGUUACCCAGCUUCAGAGACCUGCAACCUCUCCUGCAGCUACAUAUGGACAUUUGUAUGCUUAUUGGGUAUUCAGUUCACUGAUUUACUUGUUCUAAAGCUAUCACAGACCUCAACCAUUUCCACUCACAAACCACAGUGAGAGCCCAUUUGCUAACAGUUUUAAAUGCUCACUAUUUACAGUCCCUGGCAAAACAGGUUUUUCAAUUUCCAAUAAUGCAGAGAGCAAAACCAAGCAAACAAUGGCCACCUCUUUACCUCUUUGCAGUAAUGUAACAAAGAGCAAAAAAAGGUUUCCUGUUUACUGAUAUAUCUCAAUCCACCCUGACCAAAUGUAUCCUCCACAAAGAUUUCUGAGAUGUGUUCACCACCAUCCAAAAAAUAGGGACGUCUCAGUUCAGUGCAUAAUGCUGCACACAAAGUGGUGUUUCUGAAGGAGAAUGCCAGUGGAAGUGUUUGUUUCAUCUUACGUUUUUGAUCUCCUGGCAAUAUCCUUUGCAAGCUGUGCACCCCGUUUGCCCUUGAACAUUUUCUCUGCCUCCUGUCGCUCCUACAGCGAUACCACACACACAAAGUUAAUUUAAGAACACGGCAUUUUGCAAAGCUGCUGUCUUUGCAAAGAAAGAUGCUUUGGCUCAUCUCCAGUGAACACUGGCACGAGGAGACCAGAUGUAAGAACAAGCACAGACACAUUGCCCAAACACUCGGACUCGAGGAAUAUCACUUUAGUGCUCUUAAAAGGAAUGACCCCACACUUCUACAGGGAAAGCAGAGGGCUCUGCUGUGAUCUCCUUCCUUCCUCUGGGUUUGUCUUACCACCAGUAACACUGGCCAGCCAGAAAAGAAUCAGACUAAACAAACAACGGCAGUAAAACAUCAUUAAAAAUCAUGAAGUAGAUUACAUCCUUAACAGUGUGAAACCAUCAAAGAGAAGCAUGAGUUUUAAAGCCUCGUAGGAUACACAGUUUCACUGCAAUUUACAACUGGGGCAAAAACCUUAUCGUUUUCACUACAGUUUCAGGAGAUAACAGGAGAAAAGGCCUCCAUCUGGUGUUCAAUCAGAAGGUGACAGACUUACUUUGAGUUUCACUUUCUGAAAAUCCAGCACUCUGACUUGGGGAACUUUGUAGAUAACAUAUAAUCUGUAAUGCUUCUUAUUUGUUACUGGAUUCCUUAAAAUGCUCAGGUAAGUCAAUGAUUUAAUACUUGAUAAUGGAUCCAGUUCACCCAGUUCAGAAAUGUUGUUGUUGGUAAGAACGAGCUCUGUGAGACUGGGCAGGGCUUGUUCAAGUCCUUCCCCAAUCCGACAAAUCCUAUUGUUAUUCAUCAGAAGAGUUUUCAGCCUUCUCAACAGAGGGAACCCAUCCAGUUUCCGGAUCUCAUUAUCUGAGAAAUCAAUCGCAUCAAACUGAUCCAACGUGGCCCCUAAGUUCUCAAUGACGGGGAUUUUAUACCCCCGCAGAUCGAGCUCGCGGUCUCGGACGGCGUUGGUGUAUUGAGCCGCCUGCUCGAUCAGCUCCGCCGUCAGCUUCACCAUCCCGCCGAGCCCGCCAGGCCGCGCCGCGCCGCCAACACGCCGCCGAGCCGCUCAGCCAGCCGAGCGCCGAGCAGCCGAGAGCGGCCGAUCUCUGCCGAGCG
RNAcentral lists this long non-coding RNA (3173 nucleotides) under Gallus gallus (chicken). The record is from RNAcentral. Lineage: Eukaryota; Metazoa; Chordata; Aves; Galliformes; Phasianidae.